This 746-nucleotide long non-coding RNA is filed under the name Carica papaya (papaya). RNAcentral's name for it is "long non-coding RNA (CPAP_LNC004321)". The record is from RNAcentral. Lineage: Eukaryota; Viridiplantae; Streptophyta; Magnoliopsida; Brassicales; Caricaceae.
AGCUAGGAAGUUUCUCAAGGGCCUUCGUGCCAAAAUCUAUGACUGGGUCGCAAUGUUAAAACUCAACUCAUAUGCAGAGGUGCCCAAACAUGCCCAAUCGGCUGAAGAUCUCAUCUCGACCAAGCACCAAAGCAUUGCCCGAGUUAGUACCCAACAACAACCCCAACAGCUUAGAAGGAGAUUACCUGACCCAAUAAGUAGCCACCCUGAUAAACGAACUAAAGUUGCAUUCCCCCCUGCUUUGCCUCCACCUAUAGUUCAACCUAACCGAUCUAAUCAACCCUGUCAGCAUUGUGGUCAUUUGCAUGGUGACUUGACCUCUCGGCGUAUCAAUAACACCUGUUAUUGGCACGAAAGCACCCAACAUCUUAUAAAGGAUUGCCCCCAGUGACCAAAGGAUGUAGCCUGGCCUAUAGCACAAGGUCGCGUGUACCACUUGGAUGAACUUAGUGCCCUUCCUACUCCUGUUCUUAUCUAGGGUAUGCUUUUUAUUCAUGACACUUUUGUCAAAGCUUUGAUCGAUGCAGGGGCAACUCAUUCUUUUAUUUCCCGUACAUUUGCUUGUAAUUUUGAUUUUAGACCAGAACCUUUAGCAGAAACAUUAAUAGUAGAAACUCCCUCGAGGGGACUACUAGAGGCUUAUUGUUUAAAUAAAUAUUGUAGGAUAAAAGCUUCAAGAAUAAAGGUUAAUAUAAACAUGAUACUGUUAGAUUUUGUAGGAUUUGAUGUCAAAUUAGUAAUGAAUU